GCCGGGUGUGGUGGUGGGCACCUGUAAUCCCAGCUACUUGGGAGGCUGAGGCAGGAGAAUCACUUGAACCCAGGAGGUAGAGAUUGCAGUGAGCCAAGAUCACACUAUUGCACUUCAGCCUGGGCAACAGAGCAAGAUUCUGUCUCAAAAAAAAAAAUUUUUUUUAGUGCACACUUGUGGUCCCAGCUACUUGGGAGGCUGAGGCAGGAGGAUUGCUUGAGCCUAGGAAUUGGAGGCUGCAGUGAGCUAUGAUUGCACCACUGCACUCCAGCCUGGGUGACCAAGUGAGACCCUGUGUCA
RNAcentral lists this small RNA (300 nucleotides) under Theropithecus gelada (gelada). RNAcentral describes it as "Metazoan signal recognition particle RNA (ENSTGEG00000007472.1)". The record is from RNAcentral. Lineage: Eukaryota; Metazoa; Chordata; Mammalia; Primates; Cercopithecidae.